Molecule: unclassified non-coding RNA, 243 nt
Filed under: Hevea brasiliensis (rubber tree)
Lineage: Eukaryota; Viridiplantae; Streptophyta; Magnoliopsida; Malpighiales; Euphorbiaceae
Source: RNAcentral
CACCAACCAGAUCUUCUUGCGAGUCUCUUCAAUGGGAGCAUUGCUCCGUUUUGACAUCUCAAGAGCUAUAAGCUCUGCAAUACCAGUUCCAGCUUCCCCAGCACCAAGGAACAAGAAAGUGUGAUCAGCUAGGGAACCACCAAGCAACUUCAGUGCUGCAAUAACCCCUGCCAGAACAACAGAUGCUGUCCCCUGUAUGUCGUCGUUGAAGACCAGAUGAGUUGUACCAUACUUUGCAAGCAG